AAACAAACAAAAUUAAACACCAACACUUGAACACCAACCACGGACCGGUUUCAUGCAAGGGGUCCAGUGAAUGCAAAGAAAGCUGUGGCUGUCCAGAUUUAAGUGGACUUACGGUCAGUUCUCCUGCUGUCAGUCAAGUCUCGGUCAGUGAGGUUGAGUC
This is a long non-coding RNA of Lates calcarifer (barramundi perch), 160 nucleotides long. RefSeq lists it as uncharacterized. Lineage: Eukaryota; Metazoa; Chordata; Actinopteri; Centropomidae. The transcript has 3 exons. The record is from RefSeq and is a predicted model, not a curated record.